UACGUAGGGUGCGAGCGUUAAUCGGAAUUACUGGGCGUAAAGCGUGCGCAGGCGGUGAUGUAAGACCGCUGUGAAAUCCCCGGGCUUAACCUGGGAACUGCAUUGGUGACUGCAUUGCUGGAGUAUGGCAGAGGGGGGUGGAAUUCCACGUGUAGCAGUGAAAUGCGUAGAGAUGUGGAGGAACACCGAUGGCGAAGGCAGCCCCCUGGGCCAAUACUGACGCUCAUGCACGAAAGCGUGGGGAGCAAACAGG
This 253-nucleotide ribosomal RNA is filed under the name uncultured bacterium. RNAcentral describes it as "partial 16S ribosomal RNA". It matches the Rfam family "Bacterial small subunit ribosomal RNA", at positions 524 to 776 of the family's 1533-position model. The record is from RNAcentral.